This is a long non-coding RNA of Dermochelys coriacea (leatherback sea turtle), 408 nucleotides long. RefSeq lists it as uncharacterized. Lineage: Eukaryota; Metazoa; Chordata; Testudines; Dermochelyidae. The record is from RefSeq and is a predicted model, not a curated record. The transcript is spliced from 3 exons.
AGAUAUGUGGGCUGUAAUGUUGGUAGUUUUCUGUCAGGCUCUAGGAGACAAGCCUAACCAGAGGUUUUAUUUGGGGAUUUUAAAUUUGGGAGCUGAACUAAGGCUCUGAGCCAUUUCUUCUUAUGACAGUGGGAGAUCCUAGGUUGGUUCAUUUCACUAACAUGGGACUAGAAAAGCAAUAAAUUUGAUCAUUUCCUUCUUAUGCCUGAAGUAAGUCAUGCCCUAGUGAUCUUAGUACCACAUCCCUGAGAAUCAGGAAGUCAUGAGUUCCAUGCCUACUGAUCCUCUAUGACCAUGAGCAAAGGAGGACAACUAUAAUACUGUCAGAAAGUGGACAUCAGUACUACUGAAAUUAUUUUGCCCUUGUCUGCUCAGUUCCCUGCUGGCCAAUGACUUAGUCAAGCAUAU